This 209-nucleotide long non-coding RNA is filed under the name Gossypium barbadense (sea-island cotton). RNAcentral describes it as "long non-coding RNA (GBAR_LNC022920)". Lineage: Eukaryota; Viridiplantae; Streptophyta; Magnoliopsida; Malvales; Malvaceae. The record is from RNAcentral.
UUCGUACCAAGCUCGGAGUAGGUUCGUAAUGUGAAAAAAAAAUUUAGGUUGUAAUUUUUUUUCUCUUCUUCCUUUGUAUUUCAGCAUAUUAUAAUUGAAAAAAAAAUCAAAAAAAAAGAGAAGAGGAAAUUUGAAAAAAAAAUUCAAAAAAAAAAAUUCAAAAUUUUUUUUUUUUGAAGUAUAAAAAAAAAGUGAAAAGUCUUGUGAGU